UGCAGUCGAACGAGUUUCUAAAGAGGGCAACCUAAGAAGAGAUGUAGUGGCGAACGAGUGAGUAACGCGUAAGAAUCUGCCUACUAGUAGGGCAUAGAUAAGAGAAAUCUUUUGUAAUUCCCUAUAAAUUGUUAGCAAAAAAGGCUUCGGCCGCUGGUAGAUGAGCUUGCGUCUGAUUAGGUAGUUGGUGGGGUAACAGCCUACCAAGCCGAUGAUCAGUAGCCGGUUCGAAAGAACGUACGGCCACGCUGAUAUUGAGAUACGGAUCAGAUUCCAAUAGGAAGCAGCAGGAGAGGAUUUUGGGCAAUGGGGGAAACCCCGACCCAGUGAUUUUGCGUGGGUGAUGAAGGUCUACGGACUGUAAAACCCUUUUAGCAACGAAGAGAAAAGACAUUAGUUGCAGAAAAAGUUCCGGCUAAUUUGCGUGCCAGCAUCCGCGGUAAUACGUAAGGAGCGAGUGUUGCCUGGUGUUAUUUGGCGUAAAGAAUGCGUAGGCGGUUUGACAGGUCUUCAAUAUAAUCCAUAGUCUCAAGCUAUGUCUUUUGGGGAAACCGUCAGACUAGAAAUUCUUGUGGGACAAGGGAACUUUCUAUUUAGCGGUAAAAUGCUUAGAUAGAAAAGAACGCCGUAUGUGAAAACACUUGUCUGUAGGAAUUUGACGCUGUUGCAUGAAACCAUAGGCAAAAACGGGGAUUAGAUACCCCCUUAUUCUAUGGCGUAAAGGAUGAAGACUAAUGACUUACAUUUCAACGUAUGUAUGUUGUACAGUUAACACGUUAAGUCUUCCGCCUGGGAACUACGGUCGCAAGACUAAAACUCAAAGGAAUUGACAGGNAUGUACAUAAAUGGUGGAACACGAAAAUUAAUUGGCCAGCAAGCCAAAAAUCUUACCUAUUCUUGCAUCUAUUU
RNAcentral lists this ribosomal RNA (909 nucleotides) under uncultured bacterium. RNAcentral describes it as "bacterial SSU rRNA". It matches the Rfam family "Bacterial small subunit ribosomal RNA", at positions 56 to 992 of the family's 1533-position model. The record is from RNAcentral.